UGUUAAAGAUUAAGCCAUGCAUGUGUAAGUAUAAAGACUAAGAAUGAUGAAACUGCGGACGGCUCAUUACAACAGUUAUAGUUUCUUUGGUUAGUAAAAUAAGGAUAACUCUGUUAAUUGUAGAGCUAAUACUUGAGACACUCCUUAGUCACACGGCUAAGGCGACCGAACCACGGUUUGGUAAUAAUCAUCUCUUAUUGAAUGAGGAGAUGAGGACAAUUGUAGAAGGCCAGGAAUUUAACAAGUAACCAAUGAGAAUAUCUGACCUAUCAACUAGAUGGUAAGGUAGUGGCUUACCAUGGUGAUAACGGGUAACGAGAAAUAAGGGUUUGAAAUCGGAGAGGGAGCCUUCAAAAUGGCUACCACUUCUAAGGAAGGCAGCAGGCGCGAAAAUUACCCACUUCAGACGAUGAGAGGUAGUGACGACAAAUAACUAAAACCGGUGCAACGCAUCGAGUUUUGGGGAUGAGCCAGAAACAAAGACUCUGGCGAACGCGAUUGGAGGGCAAGUCUGGUGCCAGCAGCCGCGGUAAUUCCAGCUCCAAUAGUGUAUAUUAAAGUUGUUGUGAUUAAAAAGCUCGUAGUUGAAAGGAAACGAGAGUAGAAGCCGAGGUCGGAGCGCAUUCGUGCGAGCCACCGAGGCUACUAGAUUCUCAAACACUCGCGGGUGGCUGCUCGCAGUCAGCCGAGGGACAUUUACUUUGAAAAAAUAUGAGUGUUUAAAGCAAAGCAUAAGCUAAUGAAAUAUGAAGCAUGGGAUAAUAGCGAGGGGAUCACAGCGGAGGCCAGCGACCGCUGAGCCAAAGCGGUGAUAACGAGAGAAGGAUUAAUAGAAAGAGAUGGGGUGAUUUAUACGGAAAUGGGAGAGGUGGAAUUUCAUGAUCAUUUCAGGAUAAACAAGAGCGAAAGCAUUUCACUUAAAUCUAUUCAUUAAUCAAGAACGAAAGUUAGGGGAUCGAAGACGAUUAGAUACCGUCGUAGUCCUAACUAUAAACGAUGUCAACCGAGGAUUGGAAUGAAUUUCGACGAGCAUUCGAGCGCAACCGCGCAAGGGAGCUCGUUACGCAAACUCAGUUCAGCACUCAGCGGGAAACCGGGAGUUAAUGGACUUCAGGGGGAGUAUGGUCGCAAGGCUGAAACUUAAAGGAAUUGACGGAAGGGCACACAAGGGGUGGAGCUUGCGGCUUAAUUUGACUCAACACGGGAAAACUUACCAAGACCAAACAUCUAGAGGAAUGACAGACUAAGGGACCUUUCAUGAUAAGAUGAGGAGUGGUGCAUGGCCGUUCUUAGUUGGUGGAGUGAUUUGUCAGGUUAAUUCCGAUAACGAACGAGACUUUAAUCUCUAAUUGGAUGGUGGCGCCACGGUGCCAGCAGCGCAAGCCCUCGAAUGAGGUCGACUUAGAGAGACAUAUCAUCAAUUUUCCAGAAGAACCUUCGGGUUCGAUGGAAGAAGAGAUAGGAAGGAAAGCAAUAACAGGUCUGUGAUGCCCUUAGACAUCUUGGGCUGCACGCGUGCUACAAUAGUAGCCAUAAAGAGCACAUCGGCGACGUCAUAGCGCGAGCCAUCCUUCGGGAGGUGAGCGGACUAGGCCAGCCAACCGAAACCGAAAGGUGGAGGGAAACUCAAAAGGGUACUGUACCAGGGAUUGAUGAUUGUAAUUAUUCAUCAUGAACGAGGAAUCCCUUGUAAAAUUUCGUCACUAACGAAAGUUGAAUACGUCCCUGCCCUUUGUACACACCGCCCGUCGCUCCUACCGAUUGAAUGAGAAGGUGAAGGUUUAGGAGGAAGUGACGCCGUCACACCGAAUGGAUCUAAAUCUCUUCAUUUAGAGG
This 1836-nucleotide ribosomal RNA is filed under the name uncultured Entamoeba. RNAcentral's name for it is "bacterial SSU rRNA". It matches the Rfam family "Eukaryotic small subunit ribosomal RNA". The record is from RNAcentral. Lineage: Eukaryota; Evosea; Mastigamoebida; Endamoebidae.